Long non-coding RNA from Biomphalaria glabrata, 3797 nucleotides. RefSeq lists it as uncharacterized. The record is from RefSeq and is a predicted model, not a curated record. Lineage: Eukaryota; Metazoa; Mollusca; Gastropoda; Planorbidae. The transcript is spliced from 3 exons.
GAAAAACAUUCACAAUGGAGUAAGCAAGUGUCACAGAACAGACGUUUACUCUUGAUUACGUUGAAACUGAUUGAAGUCUUUGGUGUGUAAGUCUAAUACCGAACCGAAGCAAUUUUUGAGAUCAGCUUAAAAUAAUCCCUUUUGGUCAAAAUAAAAUAAAAAAUCUGAAUAACACUGCCAUUUAUGUACGAGAAUCAUGUACCAAAAGAAUAUGUUCAAGUCUGUGAUUUCAGUGCUCUAUUGCGGUCCCAUCUUAUUAAGUACGUCAGGAUCAUUGCAAACGACUGGACAAAUAACAUCAACAUUGACUAGCGUCAAGACAACAAACGGAGAAACGUUAACAAGAAAUGUGAGCAUGUCAACAUUCAAACCUACAGGAAGAUCUAUAAACAGAAACAUUUAUGUGACUACAACGAUGACUUCUAACUUUAAGAUGUUCAAUAAGACUGAGUUUACGACAACUUCAGAACAACCAACUUCAGGAGGGCCAGAGAUAUCAACCAUAACACGGACACACUCGCUGACUCUCUUUACAAUCUUGACCAAAGUGUUUCUCCCACUUUUUAGCGUUGUUCUUCUCUUCCUACUAUUGACUUAUUUAGCGUUAGUGCUCAGAGAAUUCUGGUCUAGAAAAAGAACGCUCUCCGAUUCAUCUGCUGGUGCGGGGGAAGAACAUGGUGAUGUGGUAAACUACAAAGUCCACUCUGAAGUCACACAAUCACAACUUACUCAAACGAAAGCAGCCGAGAAAACUUCAGGUUCUGACAAAUGUUUAAAGACAUGCCAUUCUCAGGACGAUUCCUAUGUCAACGUGCAAACAAUGCAAGGUGUUAACUAUGAUAAGAUCAGUGCAACACUAGAUCAGAGUGAGCCCUACAACAACCUUGUCCUCUAUGGUAAAGUGUUGAAAACCACGCGCAAUGUUCACUCUGAAUCAACUUUUCUCUACGUCAAUACAGCCAAAUCGUCCGAAUAUUUAAAUUCUCAGAUUGUUUUUGACGGAAUCGUUAAUGAGACAAUUAUGUACAAUAAUAUAUCUGAGGUGUCUAAUAGAAACUAGCAACACAACUAGAAAUAGAGUAUUUGUGUAAAGUAAAGACCGGAUGAGAGCACGCCUACAACCGUACUGAGUGUGUGUACAUAUAUUCAAGAACGUUGCAUUGGAUUUGUUGAAGGAGUCUUUGAAAGCUCACAAUUCACUUCUUAGAAAAAAAAAACUUUCACCUUCACUUUUUUGUCUUUCUCACUUUCCUUCACUCCCCACUGUUUUCACGAAGCUAAAAUAUCAACUCACUCUGUUAAAACGUUUGUACACGCUAUUUCUUCCACACCCCAAGUCGGAUCAAGUUGAAAUUUGGCACAAUUAUUUCUUGUACCUGACAAAACAAAAAUAUAAAAAAAUGAGUUAAUUGGGUAUUGGUAAUUAAUUAUUUUGUCAUGUAUCGAACAAGGAAAGAAAUUGUACUUGACACAUGUGGUGGCAUUAGUUGAUUUAGUCCCCUUUAUACUUUGUGUACACAAUUAGGUAGUCGCUUAAAAGUUUGAAACUUAUAAAAAUAUAAAACAAUUAUUUUUUCAUAAGCACUUUGGUGGUUAGUGUAUCAGGUUGAGAAGGUUUCACCCAUCGAGUUCAAAUUUACGUUGUACAACUUUUAAAAAUACAAUUCAUUUAAAUAGCGAUCAGAGUGAUAUCCCUUCUCACCCCGCCCCUACCUCUUUUCCAGACUGGUCCAGACAAGUGAUAGGAUCAUAGAGUAGUGAGAAAUCUAACAGCACACAAUUGCGAUAAACAAAAACAAUUGGUCAAAAUGUUUCUAUUCUCACAGGUUUAUUAUUGUUAAUCAAUAUCUUUAUACAUUUAAUUUCAUGUCUGAUCCAAACUAAUUGAUACAAUUAUAUUUAAUAUAAUAUUUGUAGUUUUUUUUUUUUAAAGUACAUUUUCUUAUUACAUAAAUCUUUUUUAACAUAACCAUUAACUUUAUAAUGAUAGAGGCAAAAAGUUCAUUAUAUACAUGUGUAUCGAGACAUGGUUUAGUCCAGACAGUGUUACUCCCUGCCCCUUCUAUUAUACUUAUUUUCAACUACAGGGACACUAUUAUUAACUUCCUUGUUAGAAAAAAAGGUAUUUAAGACUUUCCAGAAAACAACAGCGGUGAUAUUGUGUUUACAAAAGUUUAAAUGUGAACUUCAAUGAAAGAACAUGCUGAAUGAGGCGCUAUGUAACUUGAUAGUAGGUGUGUCUAAGGUUAUCACAGUGUGAAUGUCUUCCUAGUUGACGCAAAUAUCUUGAGGAUGUAAACAGAAUCUUUCUUUUAUGUUGUUAUUGGCAACGACGAUCGACCUUGACAUUCAAUGGACCUACAUACAGCAAAACUGCCCAACAUCCGGCCCCUAAUAAAAAAUAUCCUGACGAUAGACUUUCUUAAAAAAAAAAAAAUUAAAUUAAUGGCUUUUAUAUAGCGCUACUUUCAUGCUUAUAACAUGCUCAGUUGUUGUUUGUUUACUGCAACUGGUGUGUUCUUAGCUUCGAAGUGUUUUUAUAAACUCGGUGUGAGACAUUCGUUUAUAGUUGUAACAGGUUGUUCAUCACAAUAAAUCCUUUACUAAGACUAAGGUGUCUCGACACACAGCUUUCUGAUACAGACCUUUUUGUAUCUCAAAUCUCAGUUGCAGUUUUUUUUUUUUCAUAAUAUUGGUCAAUUUAUGUACAUCAGCAUUAAAAAAUUGAAAUGGAUAAAGCAUUAUUUUAAAGUUAAACAUUGGAAUUGUUCAUUCUAGGAUGUAGUGCAAACUGUUUAUGUCUGUUUGGUGUUGAAACGGGGACACUAACACUCACGUCUUCAAAUCACAAUGAAGAAAAGCGGCGCUGAGAAAUAGAAAAGUUUCUCUCAGAAAAGUGUCUGAACAUUGUUGCAAGCACACAAUAAACUUUUUCUUCUCAAAGGAGACUUUAUUAAAUAAUGUAUUAUCUCGGCGAUUACAAUUCCAUAAAGCUAGAGUCAAAGAAUGGCUUAGCCAAUAGCGUAAUACCAACAAACGCACAACACUGGUCCACUGCCGACUCCAGUGUAGACUCAAUCUAAAAUCUAAACAAUAACUCCCUAUAGAGACACAAGAAAGACAAAUUGAAAGUUUUAAUCUAAUAUGCAAUAUCAGCGAAACAGCUUCAAAAUGUAGUACUGCCUUAGAUAGUCAGGGGUACACAGACGAACCUCAAAGAAACAUUACAUCAGCAUAAUAACAGAAAAAAACUUUAUAAGCUAAACAUCAAGGCAACAAAGAAGAUGCGUUCAAAAAUUGUGCGACUAACAAAAAUUGGUGCUAGAAUAGUAUAACCUAAACACCGACAAAACUGGCCAAGAACACGGACACUGAUGCGAUUCAACGAGCUAGUGUAAAAAUUUGAUAACACGCGAAUCUACCGUUUAUCCUAAGAAAACUCUAAAUGAAAAAAAAAUACCCAAACAUUACGGUACUAUUGUAUUUUUAGAUCUGGAGUUACUUUGCCUCUAUAGCAUAAAGUUGUAUCACGUGAUGGAUAUCAUCCACUUCAUAGGUCAUCGUGCAGUGACACUUUUUUAAUGAAAUCAACUCUGAAUUUGAAGACAUGAACAGUUAGUAUGUACAUUUCAUUUGCCUCUCAGUAAUAUUUUGUUAUGUGUAAUGCACUAUUGUAAAACAAAUUUCCUUCAAGAAAAUAAAGAUAUUUGUGUCAGUAGAGCUGCCUUAAAUCCUGUCAACAAUUUCUUAUCACUGACCUAGUUUCGUAAAGGUUAGGCAGCAAUGGCACAGAGCAC